CUGGUCGGUUUAAAGAUCUAACACUUGGCCUGGUCGUUUACAGGCCUACACAUGCAGUCGAGCGGCAGCCAAGUAAGUACUUAUGAGGUGGCGAGCGGCGGACGGGUGAGUAAUGCCUAGGGAUCUGCCCAGUCGAGGGGGAUAACAGUUGGAAACGACUGCUAAUACCGCAUACGCCCUACGUGGGUGAAAGANGGGGACCUUCGGGCCUCUCGCGAUUGGAUGAACCUAGUGGGAUUAGCUAGUUGGUGAGGUAAUGGCUCACCAAGGCGACGAUCCCUAGCUGUUCUGAGAGGAUGAUCAGCCACACUGGGACUGAGACACGGCCCAGACUCCUACGUGGAGGCAGCAGUGGGGAAUAUUGCACAAUGGGGGAAACCCUGAUGCAGCCAUGCCGCGUGUAGUAGAAGAAGGCCUUCGGGUUGUAAAGCACUUUCAGUAGGGAGGAAAGGGUAGAGUCUAUAAUACGGCUCAUACUGUGACGUNAACCUACAGAAGAAGGACCGGCUAACUCCGUGCCAGCAGCCGCGGUAAUACGGAGGGUCCGAGCGUNAAUCGGAAUUACUUGGGCGUAAAGCGUUGCGCCAGCG
RNAcentral lists this ribosomal RNA (590 nucleotides) under uncultured bacterium. RNAcentral describes it as "bacterial SSU rRNA". It matches the Rfam family "Bacterial small subunit ribosomal RNA", at positions 1 to 577 of the family's 1533-position model. The record is from RNAcentral.